UACGUAGGUGGCGAGCGUUGUCCGGAUUUACUGGGCGUAAAGGGAGCGUAGGCGGACUUUUAAGUGAGAUGUGAAAUACCCGGGCUCAACUUGGGUGCUGCAUUUCAAACUGAAAGUCUAGAGUGCAGGAGAGGAAAAUGGAAUUCCUAGUGUAGCGGUGAAAUGCGUAGAGAUUAGGAAGAACACCAGUGGCGAAGGCGAUUCUCUGGACUGUAACUGACGCUAAGGCUCGAAAGCGUGGGGAGGCAAACAGGAUUAGAUACCCGCGUAGU
RNAcentral lists this ribosomal RNA (272 nucleotides) under uncultured prokaryote. RNAcentral's name for it is "partial 16S ribosomal RNA". It matches the Rfam family "Bacterial small subunit ribosomal RNA", at positions 524 to 794 of the family's 1533-position model. The record is from RNAcentral.